Molecule: unclassified non-coding RNA, 404 nt
Filed under: soil metagenome
Description: partial contains 5.8S ribosomal RNA, internal transcribed spacer 2, and large subunit ribosomal RNA
Rfam family: 5.8S ribosomal RNA (bases 1-121)
Source: RNAcentral
GAUGAAGAACGUAGCGAAAUGCGAUAAGUAAUGUGAAUUGCAGAAUUCAGUGAAUCAUCGAAUCUUUGAACGCACCUUGCGCCCUUUGGCUAUUCCGAAGGGCAUGCCUGUUUGAGUAUCAUGAACACCUCAACUCUCAUGGUUUGCCAUGAUGAGCUUGGACUUUGGUGGUCUUGCCGGCCUAUGGGUCGGCUCCUCUCAAAUUAAUCAGCUUGCCAGUGUUUGGUGGCAUCACAGGUGUGAUAACUAUCUACGCUUGUGGUUUUCCAUCAGGUAACCUUCAGUGAUGGAGGUUCGCUGGGGCUCAUAAAUGUCUCUCCUCAGUGAGGACAGCUUUUUUGAACGUUUGAUCUCAAAUCAGGUAGGACUACCCGCUGAACUUAAGCAUAUCAAUAAGCGGAGGA